UACAGGGGGGGCAAGCGUUGUUCGGAAUUACUGGGCGUAAAGGGCUCGUAGGCGGCCAACUAAGUCACACGUGAAAUCCCCAGGCUUAACCUGGGAACUGCGUGUGAUACUGGAUGGCUUGAAUUCGGGAGAGGGAUGCAGAAUUCCAGGUGUAGCGGUGAAAUGCGUAGAUAUCUGGAGGAAUACCGGUGGCGAAGGCGGCAUCCUGGACCGGUACUGACGCUGAGGAGCGAAAGCGUGGGGAGCGAACAGG
RNAcentral lists this ribosomal RNA (253 nucleotides) under uncultured bacterium. Its description in RNAcentral is "partial 16S ribosomal RNA". It matches the Rfam family "Bacterial small subunit ribosomal RNA", at positions 524 to 776 of the family's 1533-position model. The record is from RNAcentral.